UUCGCCGACCAGGCGAUCGCCGGCGGGCGCGAGCCCGCGGGAGGAAAGUCCGAGCUCCAAAGAGCGCGAUGCCGGGUAACGCCCGGUGAUGGAAACAUCGAGGAGAGUGCAACAGAAAAGAAACUGCCCCGCGCGCUCGGCAACGGACGCCCCGGGGUGAGGGUGAAAAGGUGGAGUAAGAGCCCACCGCGCCUUCGGUAACGAAGGUGGCAUGGCAAACCCCAUCGGGAGCAAGGCCACAUAGGCAGACGCAUGGGGGACCGAACCCAUCCGCUUCGUCGCAAGGCGAGGCGAGCAGAGCGGCUCGCUCGAAGUCUGCGGGUAGGCUGCUGGAGGCCGUCGGUAACGGCGGUCCUAGAGGAAUGAUUGCCACGCGCGCAGCGGCGACGCUAUGCGCGGACAGAACUCGGCUUACGGACGACGAAGACC
Molecule: RNase P RNA, 429 nt
Filed under: Polyangiaceae bacterium
Lineage: Bacteria; Pseudomonadati; Myxococcota; Polyangiales; Polyangiaceae
Description: RNase P RNA component class A
Rfam family: Bacterial RNase P class A
About the family: Ribonuclease P (RNase P) is a ubiquitous endoribonuclease, found in archaea, bacteria and eukarya as well as chloroplasts and mitochondria. Its best characterised activity is the generation of mature 5'-ends of tRNAs by cleaving the 5'-leader elements of precursor-tRNAs.
Source: RNAcentral